This is a long non-coding RNA of Passer domesticus (house sparrow), 6819 nucleotides long. RefSeq lists it as uncharacterized. The transcript is spliced from 3 exons. Lineage: Eukaryota; Metazoa; Chordata; Aves; Passeriformes; Passeridae. The record is from RefSeq and is a predicted model, not a curated record.
GUGCGGCCGUGGCCGCGCCGUGUCCGCGGGCCGGGGCGGGCGCCGGCUGACCCCGGCUUUGGGGUUUUCUUGUCUCUUUUUUUACCUCCUCCUGUCACACCUUGCCGAGUGAUCCCAAAAUCCAUUUGUCACACUCCAAAAUCUGAUUCCUGCAGCAUGCACUUUUUUGCAGCCACACCCUCUGAAUCACGUCUCAGAUGCUGCCACUCAACUUUCACAUCCUGCCACAGAUCCCUGAGAAGCAGUAGCUCAGUUCUUGUACCUGAACCACAAACAUGAACCUGUGAAGCUCAGACUACAACAGACUUCUCUUAAACCCAUACAUUUGAUGGUCUUUGGAGAAAGCAAUGGACAGAGCGGCAGGAAGUAUGAGAUCUACAUUAUAACUUUGCUUCCAGGAAGUUUUGAAAGUCCAUGAGGAACCCAUAAGGGUAAAAACGACCUCCAUUUUUCUAUUAUAUCUUUACCUAAUCACCUAAAAAAUUACUAUCUGCUGCAAUACUCUCAUUCAAAUAAAUUCCUCAUUGCCUUAGGCACAUGCUGAGGUGAGUGUGGGAACUGAAGGUGUUUCCAGUUUGUAAAAAUAAGAACUAUAUAGGUGGAUUUAGACUAAAAGGAGAGAACGGCCAAAAGGGAUGGAGAAGGGACAUUGUCAGAGCCAGAACAAGACAACAGCACAUGGACACAGAUAGGUGGACACUCAUCCUUACACACACACACAGUGUCUCAGCAGCUUGGUACUUCAAUUGGAGCAAUCAUCUGUGUUGAUUGGACUAGACCUAUGUAAAUUUAGGAUCAGGUUUCUGGACAACAGCUAGUGAAUGUGCCAAUAUGUCUGUAUGUAAUGAAGUGUAAUAAAUGUAAAAAUAGGUCAGAAACCUGAAAAAAUGUCCUGAAAAAAAAAAAGUAUGCAGGUAAGUUUUUUUUUUAAGAAAGUAAUUUAGAAUCAGCCAUUGUACUGUCAGCAAUUUAAAUAUAAGUUUGGUUUUUCCAAUUUUAAAAUAUAUGAGUCACUUCAAUGUUUGUGACAAUGAUGGUCUUAGAGAUGCAAGUAAUUCAAGACUUGCAGAGAACAGGAAUGAUUGUGAUGCAAGUUGCAUGUUGGAGAGCACAUCCAACUACUUGAGAGAUUGCUUUACUAAUUACCUUAGCUGGUUCUAGUGUCUUCCAUUUUGCAUAUGAAGCCAACAAAGCAGAGGUGAGAACCUGACACCAGGCUCUGUGGAUGAGCUCUGCGGUUAGGAAGGGAAAUGUGCACUGUUCUCACUUUCCACCCCUGCUCUAGCUAAAAGCAAAGCUAAGUAGACCAAAUACAAAACUAGAAGUUUUGCUAUUAUUGUUACCUAGAAAAACAACCUAAAUUGUUAUGGAAUGGGUUUGCCUCAGUAGCAGCACAGACAUUCCUCUGAUUCUACAUUCUCAGCCUAGCCUUCUCUUUUCCCAUAUACGCUACCUCUCUUCUGGUUGAUACCAGAGAUAGGAUUUGGGCUCACACCCGAGACAGGAUUUGGCAAACAUCUGUAAGAUCUUGAAAAGCACGAACAAAGUUAGCAAGGGUCAGUUGUUUAAUGUCCCCUCCAAUACAAGAACUGAGGAUCAAGUAGGUGGGAUGGUCAAAACAAGAAUAAUUUUUCUUUUUUCACAGCUCAUUGAAGAAAGUGACAGAAGGCUCUGCUGCAAGGAAGCAUUGAUGCUGCAGUCACACUUAGUAGCCCAAUGUACUAAUCUACUAGGAGUGUUUCUUGCAGAGCAUGGGUGGCCUUGAAGCAGAGCUCUCCAGUCAGACACUUCUGUGACUAAUGGGCAAAGGCAUCAGAGGCAUGUGGGGAUUAUCAGCGGAUGUGCAGGAGGAAGGAGGUUGGGAAUGGUGUGUGUGCCAGGAGGGGCUGGAGCAGUGAGGUGCAAAGGGGGUCUGGCAGUUUCACACCCCAGAGUGAUGAAGUGUGGGGUGAUGGCAGUGACACGACUGCUGUGCACUGGCUGGUGCAGGACCGUGGGGCUAAAUCCACAGGGAGAAUGAAUAGCCCUAAAUAAAUACAACUAGGACCACACUUGGGCAUUACUACCAAAGACAGUGUAAGUGCAUACCAUUUCAUUAAUCAUCAUUGCAGCUUGUCACUAUAUAGAAAUUAGUUAUUAUAUUAUUAGAAUUGUAGAUAUUAAAUAUUCACUAACAAUUGUCUAAACUAAUUAAGAUGCAGGAUUCAUUUGUGAUGUUUAUGGCUUUCAUUAGUGACAGAACUUGAGAAAAUAAUAAUGAGAGAACAUAUAAUAAGAAUAUAUCACAGAUCUAUAUGUUUAUUUGUGUUUAAUACUGACUAAAAGAGUAUGAUGAGAAUUCUUUAAAUUGUCUGAAAUCUUCUGCAUAAAAAAAAUCUUGUAAACACCUGUUCUCUGGUAGAUAGGUGUUUGAGGUUCCCUGAUGUCAAGACAUUCCAAUUUCAGAUAUGUGGUAUAAUACAGCCAUUCAAUUUAAUGUACUUGUAUGGGGACAACAGGAAUGUCAGCUGGCAUUUGCUGAGGUCCCCUGAAACAGCCUUGAUCACCUAAAGAUCUUACAGUGCUUUGCAGCCAUGAGAGUAUUCUGGGGCAACUAGAGAUAAAGAAAAACAAGACUAAUUCCAGUCAGUAAAGCUGAAACCUUGAUCCCUUCCUGCUUUCCUCUGUGCUUCUCACUUCUUAUAAUCCCAAAUCAUAGGGAUUAUGAUUUAUACUUUCCUGUUACCUUUUAUAUGACAUGGACCAGCCCUAAAUCCCUUCCCUGACCUUCUCACCGAGGAAACCAUGGAUCCAAUCAAGCUCAUCUCCCUCCUUUACUCAUAUAGCUGCCCUCUUUAUAUCUCUACUGUGUUCCUGCCAAUUCCUUUCAGCACACCCAAAUGAGUUGUGCUUAGGUUGUGUUCUCACCUGCCAUCCUGCUCAUAGCUAUCACUUGUUUGAAAUCUCUGCUGUACCAUGUCCCCUGCUAUGGAAUUAAUCUCUGUGCUUGCAAGGUCCUGCACAACUUGGUUCCCCCUCAAGCCAAAUACAUUUUCAGAGGUUUUUUUCUAUUCUUCUCUUUUCUGUUUUAUGCUUGCCUUGAAAGCCUUCCCCUAUCAAUUGGCAUGUAUCAGUCCCUGGUUUAUCCCAUGUAUGAUGCUUUUCUUCUCCACAUUGCAAAUAUCAUUCUCAGUUUUCCCAGGAACUUUCCCAAUCACAUUUUGGUGAUUCCAGCACACAAGCUUGUCAUUUAGUUCAGUAUAGCUUCUUCGUAGGCAUGAGGAGUGGCAAGGGGGAAAGAAGAUCCCUGACAAUAUUGCAAAAUAAUUGUAUAGAGAAUCCAAUGUAGCCACAAACCAUGAUGAUGGCAUAAGCAUGGGAAAAGUAACAGCAUGGGGGAAAAUCAGAAAUAUGAGUUUAAUAGGAGAUACAAGUUUUGUUAAUCAAUUGCAUUUUAAGCACAGAACAAAUUAUGCAAUUUUAUAGAAGUUUUAACUAAAAUCCAUGCAUUUCACAAAAUGAAACAAAAACUUGUUAGCAAACCAAGACUUCAGCCAUUUAAAGAGGCGAUGUUUUUGGAAUGGCAAUUAAAUGGCACUUUUCUAAUAGUAGUACACUGAAUGGUAUCAGAAUUGGGAACUAUGCUGUUUCUUGCCUCCAGCUAUCUCAGUUCAGAUCUUUCAUAGCAGAAGAACUUAGAGAUCCUGAGGGAUUUUUUUCCCCUCUACAACACUGUACUGAAAAUAACCCCCUAGGAGGUCAUAGGGUUACAUGGAAAAUAGUAGUUUAAUUUAUUCAUCCUAAAUAGCAAAAGGCAUAUUUUAGCAUGUAUUAAAAAUAGACUCAUUUAAUGCACUUUUUCAGUCUAGUGUCUGAUUUUGCUGUUGAUUUAUUUCAUUUCUGCACAGUGCAUUCUCCUUGAAGAAAUUUGUAGGCUGUUGUUGACAAUUUCUUCAGAUAAACGUGCACAUAAGAAUAGACAGGCUCAUGGUUUUUUUGGAAAAAUGAAUGUGCAGGAAGUGCUUCUCUUUCUACAUCAAUCCCUAGGCACCACCUAAUGGUGUCUUAGCUUUCUUAACCGCAUUUCUUUGAGGAGAGGAAAACCAUUUUCAUUUUAUGUAUCUUUCUGUAGCCACAGUUUAGCAGUCAGUGGUACUGGAGGAAUACAAUUAAUUGAUUUCCUACAUAUGCUGCCACUCUUCUAUGUCAUAAUAUAUGCUAUCAUAUCCCAAAUAUACAAGGUUUUUGGGAUAAUCACAAUUGUUAUAGAUUUACCCAAUAGAUGGCUGUGUUGUGAAAAUAAAUUAGUAACUUCCAAAGCAAAGAUAGCCAUUUAAAAGAAUGCAGUAAAUACCAUGAUUGCACUGACAGAUACAUCUGAAUUGCAAAAUUUGCUCCUCCUGCCUAUUAAUCUAGUGUGAAGGUAUAAAGGGACUUGUUUGAAUUUAUCUCGGAACCACUCAUUUCAAAACUGGCUUUUUCCUUCUGUAAUGCUCCUACAGUAAUGAUCACAAGACCAUUUCAUUGAUUCCUCUGUCUUUGAAGAGUUCAUGGUUCUACAUUUAAGGUAAAAAAAAGCCAGAUUUUGUUUGUUUUCAGUGUAUGUGGCAAGGCCAUACUUUUACCAGAGUACUUGGGAGGAGCAGUUGCCAAUUACGAAUUGGUAAAAGUGGUAACAGAAAUGACGUGGACAAGUAUGGUACAAGCAGAUCACAGCCACAUGAUAGGCGCUGAUGUUAUUUAUGUGCUUGCAUAUUUUUAGCUAUUGGCAAUGCCUGUCACAGUAGAGAGGGGUGGUGGAUACAAAUGGAAAGAAUACUUUGAAAAGGAUGUUAUUUUUAUACUGAGCUUCUCAUAUUGCUCAACUGAUGUUGCCUCAACACGACACUGAACACAGUCAGAGAAAAGGUGUCAGUCACAAGACAGUAAGACCUGGCAGUAAGACACUGGUCAGAUCAAAAGUCCAUCUGUUUCAGCAUUCUGUACAACUAGGUGAUGUUUAAAAGAAAGUGUUUCCUUUUGUUUGGUUCCAAUACAGCUUUUCUGCUUCUAAGAAACAAUGAAUCACCAUAGUUAUAGGACUGAUUUUAUGUUCCCUCCACCUUUAAUCAUCUUUUUUCCAUGAAGAAAUGUGGUAUUUGGUUUCCCUUGUAUAGAACCUAUUCCUUAUUUGUGAUCCAUACUGCUUAACUGAACCUGUAUCUUAUCUAGUGCUACUACACUGGUCUUGGAGAUAAUAAGCAGAAGUGCAUGUAUUUGAGAUUCAAGGUUGGUACAACAGCAUCAUAAUGUUUUCCUGGUUUGUUCUCUAGUAUUUUCAUAAGGAAAUAAUUGCAAUGUUCAGUUUGUCUUUUCUUGCCACAGGGCAUGGUGUUGCCUAUUCAAAUCCCUUUCAUGAAUAGUUACAGCUAAGAGGUCUCUGUUUUGUAUUUUUCUUUCAAGUGCCUGUGUUUGAAUUUGAUAAGCAUACAUUAUAUGAGGUUUUACUGUCUGGUUGCUCAGCAUUGGUUAAAAUUUUCUUCAACUCCUUGCUGUCUGCUUUAGUUGUGACUUUGAUCCACAACUUGUUAUCUUUGCAAACUUCCCUGCUUCAGUAUUCAGCUCUAUGUUGUCAUUUGUGAAUAGCUUGUACAGCAGGAUCUGGACAGCUGUAGAUCCAGUGGAACCCUAUUUUCUUUGUUAUUUGUGGAAAAUCUUUUUUUUUUUUGAUCUCCCAUCCAGUUGUUUGCCCAUGGAUUAUCUUUGCACCCAUUCUAUGAGAAGUUAAUUUCUUCAGAAGUUCUUAGUGAGGUGCCUUUCUUAAAGAAGCAUUUUACAAAUCCAAAUACAUAAAAAUCACCAGCUCAGCCUCAUGAUUAUAAUAUCUGCUAUACAAAUUCAAUUCUCAAACACCAUAUUGAUUGUUCCUUCAUAUUUUAAUUUACUCAAAUUUCUACUUGUUUUAUUUUACAAUAAUUUCAAUUAGUUUGCCACCCACGAAAGUCAGACUUGGGUAUUGUUCCUCAGAUAACCCCUGAGAUCAGUAGUUUUUAAAAACUGGUGACAUGUCUGUCAUCUUCUGUUCUCCUGGUUGAUUGAAAUGUUGGGUUAAACACCACAGUUUUCAAGUGAGGAAUUUCAUGGCUGAAAUUCUUGAAUGACCUUUCCAUGCUCUGUCAGUAACUUACUAUUUCUUUAACUGAUGAAACUGACAACCUUUCCUUAUGAUGAAUCAGCAUAAGAGAGUUCUCAGAUUAUUUUUCAGUUCUUGAAAUGUCCCACUACCCAUCUAAGAUUUCCCUUUUGGAUCAAAGUUGUUCCAUUCCAUCAGAAGGCAUUCUUAAAAAGACUGAUCUCACUCAAUGCCUAUAGUUUGAUUUCCUUCAAUCCUUCUGAACUACAUCUCAUGAGAUGUUGUAAUUAAAUGCACGUCUCCAUGGAAUCAAACAGAAAGACCAGAAAGAAAUGGACUAUUUGGAGGAUGAUAUGAAGGAUUAUAAGAAAUCAGGAGGAUGAUAUGAAGGAAUAUAAGAAAUAAUAAUAAAGUAACAAGAUUGAACCAAAACCAGAAGAGGGACAUUUCCUUUACCUGAAGUUUCAUAAAGAAUAACAUUUUUGGAACAAUUUUCAUUAUGUAGAGGAAUGCUUUGUUGACAUAUAUUAAUAUGCUAUCCAAGGACUGAGAAAAGAUGACCAGGGAAUUUCAAUAAAAUUUUAUAUAACUAUCUUUUACACUAUGUAAAAUAAAUAAUUACUUUUUUUGACUCAGUCUAAACUAACUCUCCCAUUUCCCAAAACUAUUCCGAAUAAAAUUUGUAUUUGAACAACCAUUCAGAAUUAAAAAAUGUGGAAGCAAAGCUA